Molecule: ribosomal RNA, 704 nt
Filed under: uncultured marine euryarchaeote
Lineage: Archaea; Methanobacteriati; Methanobacteriota
Description: bacterial SSU rRNA
Rfam family: Archaeal small subunit ribosomal RNA
Source: RNAcentral
UCGGCAUACUGCUCAGUAACACGUGGAUAACCUGCCCUAUGCUCGAGGAUAACCUCGGGAAACUGAGAAUAAUACUCGAUAGUCCACAACGCCUGGAACGGUGUGUGGAUCAAAGGUUACGGCAUAGGAUGGGUCUGCGGCGUAUCAGGUCGUAGGGGGUGUAAUGGACCUCCUAGCCAUUGACGCGUACGGGUUGUGGGAGCAAUAGCCCGGAGAUGGAUUCUGAGACACGAAUCCAGACCCUACGGGGUGCAGCAGGCGCGAAAACUUCACACUGCAGGAAACUGUGAUGAGGGAACUCCAAGUGCAUGCACUAUGUGUAUGCUUUUCUUAACUUUUAAUCGGUUUUGGAAUAAGGGCUGGGAAAGACCGGUGCCAGCCGCCGCGGUAAUACCGGCAGCUCAAGUGGUCGUCGCUUUUAUUGGGCCUAAAACGUCCGUAGCCUGUUUAGUAAAUUCGUGGGUAAAUCAACCGGCUUAACUGGUUGAAUUCUGCAAAGACUGCUAGACUAGGGACCGGGAGAGGUGUGAGGUACUCUAGGGGUAGAGGUAAAAUUCUGUCAUCCUUGGAGGACCACCAGUUGCGAAGGCGUCACACUAGAACGGAUCCGACGGUCAGGGACGAAGCCUAGGGGCACGAACCGGAUUAGAUACCCGGGUAGUCCUAGGUGUAAACGCUGUGAACUUGGUGUCGGGAUUCCGUCA